GGGAGACCGGGGUUCGAUUCCCCGCCGGGGAGUGGAAGCAUUUCCGGAGAGAGAGAAGACACGGACAGUAUUGGAAGACUUAUGUAGAUCUGUUUGAAAAGGAUAUAGUGUUUCUGGCGAAGAAGUGAUCAAAGGACCUGACUUUUCCUAAAGUAUGGCCAGACUCCGCGAAGUAUCUGGCACCACGGCCCUGGUUUUGGCGGGUCUGACGUUUGCCUUGGGGUUCUACCUGGGUUACAAGGCAAAAGCUUAUCGCCUUCGAUAUCUCCAUAAUAAAAGAGAUCGUCUGAUGAAUAAACUGAACAAAGCAACAGAGGACAUUCAGUAUACAAUGAACAAUAUUUGACAAAUACUCGGUUUAGGUUGUCUGCAAUCUCUUUGAUAUUUUUUAGGUCAUAUAGAUAGGCCUGUAUAUUUAUUGAAAUGUCAGCACAUAGGGAUUAUUGGUAACAGAAUUUAUGCUGAUAUAAUUUAUUGUACAUUUUAUAUGAUAUAUUUUAACAUUUACUUGAAUAUUGUAUAUCAAGUAAUAUACUGUAUAUAAUUGAGAUUAAAAUUUUCUAUAAUAAUCAUAUCCUGUAUCAGCCUGAGACACAUAUAUAUAGAUCACAAAACAGUAGAAUGUGAACCAAAAAUAUAUUGUGUUUUAUCAUAAGUACAGGCAUCAGGAUCACGAAUCAAACUUAAACUUAUAAUUAUUCAAAUUUUUAAUCGCCUAUAAAAUAUUUAUCAAU
This is a long non-coding RNA of Saccostrea cuccullata (small rock oyster), 734 nucleotides long. RefSeq lists it as uncharacterized. The record is from RefSeq and is a predicted model, not a curated record. The transcript is spliced from 3 exons. NCBI's taxonomy places the organism in Eukaryota, Metazoa, Mollusca, Bivalvia, Ostreida, Ostreidae.